CUUUCCUUGAUCUCACUUUCAAUGAGGAAAAAAAGGAGGACAGGUGUAAUUAGCAUCAAUCUCUUUUAUUCAGGCAUGUUUAAUGCGGGUUUGGCUCUGAUGGUGAUUCCAAGACUAAAGAAAGUGUCUCAAAUUCUUUCUCUUCUACCAAAGGCUAAAGAGGGUGCAUAUGUACCUGUUAGUUUUCCCGGUGUUGAGACAGGAAGGGCCUCUUAGCAGAUACUGGAUGCCGCUACAAUACUCACCGGACAUGUCACCCAUUGAGCAUGUUUGGGAUGCUCUGGAUCAGAGUAUACGACAGCGUGUUCCAAUUCCUGCCAAUAUCCAGCAACUUCGCACAGCCAUUGAAGAGGAGUGGACCAACAUUCCACAGGCCACAAUCAACAAC
Cyprinus carpio carpio is the source of this 388-nucleotide long non-coding RNA. The record is from Ensembl. NCBI's taxonomy places the organism in Eukaryota, Metazoa, Chordata, Actinopteri, Cypriniformes, Cyprinidae.